CUGUCUUGAUCUGUUUUUAAACCUGAGUCUAGGAGGAGAAGCCAGCUGGCUCUCUCUGUAGCCAGAACCAUGACAGCCUCCUGGGCACAGGUCUCCGGCCCUGUCAGAGGGGAGCCAGCCCUCCUGCCACCAGCAUGUUUUGUGUGACCCUGUGAAAGCCCAGGACACGCACAGAGUAGCCCAGGCACUGCCUGUUCUGUGGGCAUGACCUAGCCUCCAAAGCCUGCUUUCUCGUGGGCAUGUGUGUCCAUGAGGGGCGUGUUCACAUGGGGAUGGAGUGUGAGCUUCAGCCACCGAACAUGGGGAUGCGAACAGCACUGACCCAACCGGUCCGGUGGGGGAGACAGAGCCACCCACGGGGAACAUUCCCCGUGUGAUGGGAGAGGUCCUUGCUCUCAGGAAGCUCCCAGGCUGAUGGAGGACUCAAGCCCCUCUCACCUGGUUGGACGGGGAAGCUGCCAGUCUGAUGGGGCGGCAUGGCUCUGCCCCUGCCUGAUGGGGGGGACCUAGCCUAACGCUCAGGCUCACUCACCUGCCCAUUGGAUGGGGAAGAUACAGUUUCUGCCGGGGAGGAGACCCGAGCCUGACGGUGGAGACCCCCGGAGUGAAGUGGGGGAUAAAUCCUUGGCUCUCAGGGCGCUCCCUGUCUGACAGGGGAGAUGGGGCCCUCAACGUGAAGAGACUUCAUAAUAAGACACACGACAGAAACUUUUAAACGAUGCAGACCUAUUUCCAGCGCUGCCGAACUACUCCAAACUCCUCAUUUACACUUUCCUGGAACCUGCAAAUAGCAAGAAUGUGUAAAUUGAGGAAAAUUAAUAUAAUUACCGGAGCUAUUUCUUGUCAUCUCUUCACGUCAACAGAAGCCACAAACCUUUCCUGGUGAGAAGCGGGUGGUUAUGGGCUCUGUCCCCGAUGAGACAGCUGGCUCCUUCUCUGCAGGGAGCAGAUUCCGACGGGUGCCCCGUGAGCUCUGGAAGCCGGCCUGCCCGACAGAUGGGCCGGGCUGCGUGGUGGAGAGGGCGCCUGGGCCCUGAGUCAGGAGACGUGGCUCGAGGUUUGGCACCAGCCUGAAGGUGACCCACAGGUCCCGAAGCCUCUGUGAACCCCAGUCUUGCCCAACACUAGUCCAAACGUGCUGAAGUCUUGCUGGGUCCAGGGACUGUCUGUGCUUAGAGCAUUGUGUCCCCGACCGCCAUGAACUGUCACACCCAUCCCCAGAGGAAGUUCUGUUAUCCCCACUUUACAGAUGAGGACAUUGGGGCUCAGGGAGGCGAAGUCACUUGCUCAGUGUCACACAGCACAGAAGUCGCCAGGGCUGUGGGUCUCAACACUCCUCCCCCUUCCUUGGCCCAUUUCCCGGCCCCGGCCCCUCCACUCUGCUGCCCAAGGGCCCUGUGUGAGAACAGGUGCCCAAACAAACCACAGAAUGUUUGCAAGCCGUGAGCAUCGGUCUCCUCUUCUGGAACUUGGGGAUAUUAACAGCAUCGACUGCCUGGGCUAUUUUGAGGAUGAAAUGAGUUAAUUUAUGUUAAAUAGUUAGAGCCGUUCCUGGCCCAUAGGGAGCCCUCAUUAACUUGAUUAUCAUCUCGUGCUCCUCGGUAGAGCGUUAAAUGCCCCUGGCACCUGCUCAGAGAGGGAUAGCUGAGCUCCCCCAGUGUGCGUUCACAGCGGUUUGCGCAGAACCUCUAACAGUUCUGCUGGCUGAGGACUCACCACGCCGGUGUCGCUCACCAAGGAUUUGGGGAAAUAAAGGCAAAGUGCAGGAAACACCAUUGUGACGAAUAGGCAUCCAUCCCAUUGCGAGCUGUUAGUUGGAUCCAGAAAUAGAUGGUGUAAAUGUGCAGAAAACAGGGUUUGAGCAAGCAUAUCCUGGAGUAGGUUUCAUUCAUUCAUUGUUCACUCAUUCAUCAUUCAUUCAUUCACUCACACACUCAUUCUUCCGUGCAUUCAUUAUUCAUUCACUCAUUCCUUCAUGCAUUCAUUCACUCAUUCACGCAUUCAUCUGUUCAGUGCCUACUGCUGGUUGCUCUGUGCCAGUUUAGGGCAGGGCAGUAGAGCCAGGGCAGCCAAUGAGUACACACUCCCUCUGCAUUCAUGGAGCAGAGCCCCCAGCCUCAUGGGCAACAGGUUUGAAAACAGAAGCUUCACAAGCCCAACAUGUAGGGAUGAGAACAUUGGCUUGGGGGUCUCACAGAUGUGGGACCUGCUGGGGCUACAUGGGGGGAAGGGCCUCAGGACCAUCCUUUUCCAGGCCCAUCUCGGGGGAAGGGAGACCCACCAUGAAGCUGGACUCUAAACCCAGGGCUUGGAUUCCAGGGAUGGGGGUGCUGUGGCCGGGGAGGCCAGCUCCAUGCCAGAGAUCUGAGUUCUGGUCAGCCUGAAUCUGACUCUGACAGGCAGACAUGAUCUUUCCUCCUGUUAUUUCUGCUGAACUAGGUGACCAGGCCUUUUCCUUUGGCAAAUCCAGGGACAUGCAUUUUCAUGCUGUUUUGCAUAAAUCAGGAAACUUAUUUGCAUCCAUUUGCAUGUUUUGCUGGAUGUGAGGUUUGAGAGGCCCAAAUUUAAUUUGUGUAAAAUGAAGUAAGGGUGUUGAUUUCACCCCCUCUCUGCUGGCCUGAACCCCACAGGCCAUGAAGGAGCUCAGAGGCGCUGGUGGUCGCCAUUGGAUGGCUACACCAGGGAAGGACUCUGGGGCCAGCUCUCCCCGUGCUGCUCAGGGCUGAGGGGGAAGGAGAACCAUUGGGCAACUGGGUACAGAUGAAACCACAGGGCAGGGUGUCCUCAGUGUCCCAUCACAGACUUUGGAACAGGUAUAGACAGGGGGAGUGGUGUACAUGGUUCUAGCUAGGCUCUUUAUACAUGACUAGAGGCCUGGAACACGAAAUUCAUGCACAGGUUCCUAGGCCUAGCCUGCAACCAGGGCCAUCUUCCCUGGCUGCUGGCAGCCAAUCCACCCCCUGCCACCACCCACCUGGGUUCCCAGUUUGCCAUUGGGCAAUCAGAGCCUGACGGCCGGGGGGAGGGGCCAAGAGGUCAGCAGUUCCUGCCUGCUCGCUGGUGCCACCCCUACCGCAGGUGGUCCUCUGUGUGUGGGAUAAUCGGUGGGGCAGGGGCCUUGGUCUGGUGCCGCCUGCAUCCCCCGCCACCUACCCCUGGGUCCCCAUUCACCAUCGGGCGAUUGGAGCCUGCCGGCCCAGGAAAGGGACCGAGAGGUGGUCGGUGCACCUCAUAGUGUCAUCGAGCAGUUGUUCUGGUCGUUCUGCCAUUAUGGUCACUAGGCUUUUAUUAUAUAGAAUAGUCCAUUUCACCGUAGAGUCUUAUGAGGUGGGUUAUUAACUCCAUUUUAGAGAUGAGAAAACUGAGGCACAGGAGCUGAAGUGACCCAUCCAAGGCCACAUGACUGGUCUUUAGAGACCCUGGACUCAACACAUGCCAAUUUGGUUCUGGACCUUUCUGCCCUGAUUAGAGAGCAGAGAAGCCCUCUCUUCUUUCCCUGUGUUUUGCUGGACUACCUCAUGAAGAAGGAACCUUGGCAGCACCCAUGCCUCCAGAAUGGCCUGGUCUCCAUGACAACAGAGUUGGUCUUGAAUGAGUUUGACAAUGAGCUAUGUCGGAAGGGACACUGCGCCAGUUCUGGGCCUGGUGGCUUCCGCUUUCAUGCUCGUGGGAGCUCUGUGUUGGCAUGUGAGAAGUCCAGCUACCCUGAUGGAGGGAUGGUAGAGACAGAGGCAUGGCGACAGGGAGGACCUGGGAGAGAGUCCCAGCCCUGGGUGUGCGCACAUGCACCCAUCAUCUUGGACACUGCUGCCUGGUCAAGUCGCCAGAGGACUCCAGAUGAUGCCACAGCCAGCAGAAGAACCACCCAACUGAACCCGGUGAACCCACAGAAUCACGAGAGAGCGUAACAAAGGGAUUACAAUUAUCAGCCGAUAUUUCUGGCAGCUCAAGCUUGAAAUGGGACAGCACAGCGGAGGCUGUCAGAAAGGGAAGGGUACCCGAUUACACCAAUUAUCUAAUUGUUUGCUAAUGAGACACCCAGCGCAUCUCCGUGUUUACAGUGAGGGACAGAAAAGCUCCGCACCGUCAUUGUUCUUCUGCUUUGCUGAUGGGCACGUGCCCAGCUCGGGGUUUUACAUCCCAAGGAGAACUUCCAUUCUCAGGACCCUUCAUCCCUGGAUACCACUGGAACCCCCGCCAUCUGUCCUUGGGCCUUCUGCCUGCUCUCGGAGGUAACGGAGUGCAGGGGACCCCGGUGUGCUCGGCCCCCGUGGGGGUGACGCUGUGCGGGUUGCAGGAUGCAUGGUGAGAAACGUGUCACCCCCAAACCAAAGAGCAAGUGGAAUGAAUUGGGCCGAAAGGUGUUCUGAGUCAGAAACCUCUCUUGCAGACGGGGAAAGAGGCUCAGAGAGGGCGUGAGUUGGCUAAGGUGCCACAAGAGGGUGCGGCAGAGCUGAACCUGAACCCCAGGUCUCCUGAUUCCUGAUGUAAUAGUCUUUCCACCCACUGCCUUCAGCCUGUGUGAACUCGGGCUGCUUAAGUCUCCUGUGCAGCUGACUGGACUGGGAAGCAGAUCUGGACCAGAAUCGUGGGAGGUGUCCAGGCCCUGGAGCACCCCAUUUACCUGCAGGCUCAUGCGGGGCAGCGGCCCUUCCUCAGCACGAGGUGUGGUGGGCAGGGCUUUGCUCUCGGGUCAGAAGAACCAGCAGUGUGACCUUUACCAAAUUCUUUAACCCUUUGAGCCUCAAAGGGAACAGAAGGCCCAAAAUGAGGGAGGACUCAUGAAAAUCAGUAUUUAAAUGGUUUAUUCAAAGAACCAUUUUCCCAAGGACACACAAGGUCAGAGUGUGUAUGUGUGCGUGUGUGUGUGUGUGUGUGUGUGUGUGUGAGACUUCCAUCAUUUUAUGUUAGUAAUAAAAAUAGCUGCUGUUUACUGAGGCCCCGUUAUAUAUUCCAGGCAUGUGUCAAAUACUUUACAUGUAUUAUCUCAUUUAAUCAGUGCUAUGAGGCAGGAAUGCCACCCCCAUUUUAUGGCUGAGGAAACUGAGGCUCUCAGAGAUCAGAGGGUUUAACUCCCAUGGCACAUGGCAAGGCCAGGAUGGAGACCCAGCAAAUUUCCAAAGACCUGUGUCAAUCCUCAGCUGAGGAUAUUUUCCUCCCAUUGAUUUUUAGAGAGAGUGGAAGAAGGG
Long non-coding RNA from Myotis myotis, 5189 nucleotides. RefSeq lists it as uncharacterized. NCBI's taxonomy places the organism in Eukaryota, Metazoa, Chordata, Mammalia, Chiroptera, Vespertilionidae. The transcript is spliced from 3 exons. The record is from RefSeq and is a predicted model, not a curated record.